Molecule: long non-coding RNA, 1395 nt
Organism: Drosophila yakuba
Lineage: Eukaryota; Metazoa; Arthropoda; Insecta; Diptera; Drosophilidae
Exons: 2
Source: RefSeq, a predicted model, not a curated record
GGGGAGGAACCAUGGCCAAUUGAUUAUUAGUUACAUUUCUACGUCAGCGGGCUGCGAGAUAAUCAAGUAUGUAUAUUAGGUCUGGCACCUGGAUUCCACUGGAAUCAGAUCGAUGUGAUACAAUGCAACGGAAAAUCUAAUCUCUAACUUGCAGUUCAACGAACUUGGAAGAAAAGAAGACGAGGGCUUCGACUGCUUAAGAACAACAAUCAGGAAAACAGGUCUAAGUACUUUAGCUAAGAUAUAUGGUUGUGGAUCAUAUUUUAAGAUUUAUUAUCAAAAAGGUUAGAUUUUAGCUGAAAAAUAUUUGCAAAUAUUUCAUUUCAAUAAAACGGAUACAAUUAUAAAAUCAAGGUCGUAUUUUUAGGUAUCUCAAUAAAUGCUACAUUCGAAAUAUAUACAUAAAUACAUGAGAUCUUAAAAAUUUGUCACCAUUAUAUGGUUAAUGUAUAUCUUUUAAAGUGAGUCAUGAAAGAAGUGUCAUAAUUUUGAAUUAAAAUAUUUUAAUUUAAGUUAUAUCAGUAGAAAAGCUUAAAAAUUCCCUAGUUUUACUUUUAAGGAUACCUCUUGGCUUGUUUAUGGAUCUUGUAAAUGGGCAAAUUCAAUAACAACUUUAUUAGGCGCUAGACUGUCUGGUUAUCAAGUGGUUAUCACAAAACUUUCGGACCGGACCGGUGGAUAUGAUCAGUCGCACUGGGUGCUCAACGAACGUUUAAGUGUUUCACUGCGCGACGAGGGGCUUUUAUACUUUCUGAAGGGCCACUCAGCUGUGCGGCUUAUCAGGGCGAAAUUUAUAAUAAUAAUAAUAAUAAUUUAUAACAAAACAAAACGGCAAACACAAACAUGAGAGUGCCCCCACCAAGUGAUACUUUCUGGGCGGCGAUAAGCCGGGUGCACAGCUGCCAGACGCUGGCCAGCCAGAUUGGAUUGUCCGGGUGGACUGCGACUCCCCCUCCACGAGGCUGAUGAAAUCGUCAGAGCGCCGCAGUGCGUGCUUCUGGCUUCCGAGUGACUCUGAUCGGGAUGUCGGCUCUGCUAAGUCGUCGUCGAUAACCUCUGGACGCCGCAUAGGACCAACACUACAAGAUGUACUUGGUUGUUGACUCUGUCCUCCUCAAAGGAAAAUGGGGGAGCUUCCGACUGCACACAAUAGAUUGUGGUCCAAAAAUAGGUUUACUGAUGUAGAAGAACAAAAUAAUGUGAAACCCCUUUUCUGGUAAACAAACAGCUAAUGAACAUGGAAAUAAGAUGACAUAACAAAAGAUACGAUAGGAUAUCAAUCAAAUACCUCUUAACAAGGUGAGACUUAGGUGACGAUUAAGAAUAACAUGAAGAUUAGGAAUACAAUUAAAAAAGGAGUGAGAGAGGCUUUCAUUCAGUAAAAAAAACAGGUAA